AAUGAACGCUGGCGGCAGGCCUAACACAUGCAAGUCGAGCGCCUCGCAAGAGGAGCGGCAGACGGGUGGGUAACGCGUGGGAACGUACUCAUAUCUUCGGAAUAGCCCUGGGAAACUGGAAGUAAUACCGAAUGUGCCCUCAGGUGGAAAGGUUUAUCGGAUAAGGAUCGGCCCGCGUUGGAUUAGCUAGUUGGUGGGGUAAAGGCCUACCAAGGCGACGAUCUAUAGCUGGUCUGAGAGGAUGAGCAGCCACAUUGGGAGUGGGACACGGCCCAAACUCCUACGGGAGGCAGCAGUGGGGAAUAUUGGACAAUGGGCGCAAGCCUGAUCCAGCCAUGCCGCGUGAGUGAUGAAGGCCUUAGGGUUGUAAAGCUCUUUCACCGGAGAAGAUAAUGACGGUAUCCGGAGAAGAAGCCCCGGCUAACUUCGUG
RNAcentral lists this ribosomal RNA (431 nucleotides) under uncultured bacterium. RNAcentral describes it as "partial 16S ribosomal RNA". It matches the Rfam family "Bacterial small subunit ribosomal RNA", at positions 29 to 507 of the family's 1533-position model. The record is from RNAcentral.